Molecule: ribosomal RNA, 466 nt
Filed under: uncultured bacterium
Lineage: Bacteria
Description: partial 16S ribosomal RNA
Rfam family: Bacterial small subunit ribosomal RNA
Source: RNAcentral
GACGAACGCUGGCGGCGCGCCUAACACAUGCAAGUCGAACGAGCGAGAGAGAGCUUGCUUUCUCAAGCGAGUGGCGAACGGGUGAGUAACGCGUGAGGAACCUGCCUCAAAGAGGGGGACAACAGUUGGAAACGACUGCUAAUACCGCAUAAGCCCACAGGUCGGCAUCGACCAGAGGGAAAAGGAGCAAUCCGCUUUGAGAUGGCCUCGCGUCCGAUUAGCUAGUUGGUGAGGUAACGGCCCACCAAGGCAACGAUCGGUAGCCGGACUGAGAGGUUGAACGGCCACCUUGGGACUGCGACACGGCCCAGACUCCUACGGGAGGCAGCAGUGGGGAAUAUUGCACGAUGGGGGAAACCCUGAUGCAGCGACGCCGCGUGGAGGAAGAAGGUCUUCGGAUUGUAAACUCCUGUUGUUGAGGAAGAUAAUGACGGUACUCAACAAGGAAGUGACGGCUAACUACGUG